AUUGAACGCGGGCGGCAGGCUUAACACAUGCAAGUCGAGCGGGGUGAUGGUGCUUGCACUAUCACUUAGCGGCGGACGGGUGAGUAACGCGUGGGAAUAUGCCUUUUGGUUCGGAAUAACUCAGGGAAACUUGUGCUAAUACCGGAUAAGCCCGUAAGGGGAAAGAUUUAUCGCCGAAAGAGUAGCCCGCGUCUGAUUAGCUAGUUGGUGAGGUAAUGGCUCACCAAGGCGACGAUCAGUAGCUGGUCUGAGAGGAUGACCAGCCACACUGGGACUGAGACACGGCCCAGACUCCUACGGGAGGCAGCCGUGGGGAAUAUUGGACAAUGGGCGCAAGCCUGAUCCAGCCAUGCCGCGUGAGUGAUGAAGGCCUUCGGGUUGUAAAGCUCUUUCGCUAGGGACGAUAAUGACGGUACCUAGACUAGAAGCCCCGGCUAACUUCGUGCCAGCCGCCGCGGUAA
Molecule: ribosomal RNA, 461 nt
Filed under: uncultured bacterium
Lineage: Bacteria
Description: partial 16S ribosomal RNA
Rfam family: Bacterial small subunit ribosomal RNA
Source: RNAcentral